AAUACCCUAUUAUUUAAAAAGAAAUUUAAUUUACUUAAUUAGUAGUAGUUAAGGUCUUGAAAAUUAAAGAAUUUGGCGGUAUUUUAGUCUAUUCAGAGGAAUCUGUCCUAUAAUUGAUGAUCCACGAUUUUUAUUACCUAUUUUUUUAAUUUACAUAUCGCCGUAGUUUGAAUAUUUUUAAAAAAAAAUAAUAUUCAUAAUUUAUUUUUAUAAAAAAUAUCAGGUCAAGGUGUAGUUUAUGGAUAGGAAGAGAUGGAUUACAAUAAAAAUAUUUAUUAUGGAUUAAUUAAUGAAAAAUUUUUAUGAAAGUGGAUUUGAUAGUAAUUUUAUUAA
RNAcentral lists this ribosomal RNA (333 nucleotides) under Laparocerus cryptus. RNAcentral describes it as "partial 12S ribosomal RNA". Lineage: Eukaryota; Metazoa; Arthropoda; Insecta; Coleoptera; Curculionidae. The record is from RNAcentral.